This 378-nucleotide ribosomal RNA is filed under the name Triticum aestivum (bread wheat). RNAcentral describes it as "partial small subunit ribosomal RNA". Lineage: Eukaryota; Viridiplantae; Streptophyta; Magnoliopsida; Poales; Poaceae. The record is from RNAcentral.
AUGAAGAUACCUCUUAAGAAUAAAAUCUUUGCAUGGUAUCUUCGCCGCGGAGUCAUUCUUACUAAAGAUAACCUUAUUAAGAGGAAUUGGCAUGGAAGUACGCAAUGUGUCAUUUGUCAUCAUAAUGAGACAAUAAAACAUUUAUUCUUCCAAUGCGAAUUGACUCGUUCUAUAUGGUCAGUCAUCCAAAUAGCUUCUGACUUAUAUCUUCUUUGUAGUGUUGCUAAUGUAUUUGGCAACUGGUUACAUGUGAUUGAUCACUGGUUUAGAAUUCUUCUCAGGAUGGGAGCGCUUACCGUUAUUAUACGGACUGUACAUGUCUCUUUGUAUUUUGUCUUUUUUAUUUAUUUUUCAUUUGUGCGAGAGGAUCUUGCUUGA